GCGCCCCAUUAGCUAGUUGGUAGGGUAACGGCCUACCAAGGCGACGAUGGGUAGCCGGCCUGAGAGGGUGAUCGGCCACACUGGGACUGAGAUACGGCCCAGAGUCCUACGGGAGGCAGCAGCUAAGAAUCUUCCGCAAUGGACGAAAGUCUGACGGAGCGACGCCGCGUGGGUGAAGAAGGCCGGAAGGUUGUAAAGCCCUUUUCUCGUUGAGGAAUAAGCACAGGAGGGAAUGCCUGUGGGAUGACGGUAGGCGAGGAAUAAGUCCCGGCCAAUUACGUGCCAGCAGCCGCGGUAACACGUAUGGGACGAGCGUUGUUCGGAAUCAUUGGGCGUAAAGGGCGCGUAGGCGGCGAGGUAAGCCUGGUGUGAAAGACCGCAGCUUAACUGCGGAACCGCGCUAGGAACUGCUUUGCUUGAGUUCAGGAGGGGGAGCUGGAAUUCCAGGUGUAGGGGUGAAAUCUGUAGAUAUCUGGAAGAACACCGGCGGCGAAGGCGAGCUCCUGGCCAUGAACUGACGCUGAGGCGCGAAAGCGUGGGGAGCGAACAGGAUUAGAUACCCUGGUAGUCCACGCUGUAAACGAUGUGCACUAGGUGUUGGGCCACGAAGGUUCAGUGCCGGAGUCAACGCGUUAAGUGCACCGCCUGGGGAGUAUGCUCGCAAGGGUGAAACUCAAAGGAAUUGACGGGGGCCCGCACAAGCGGUGGAGCAUGUGGUUUAAUUCGAUGAUACGCGAGAAACCUUACCAGGGCUUGACAUAUGCCGGAGUGUGCAGGAGACUGCGCAGCCCUUCGGGGCCGGUAUACAGGUGCUGCAUGGCCGUCGUCAGCUCGUGCCGUGAGGUGUUGGGUUAAGUCCCGCAACGAGCGCAACCCCUACCGUCUGUUAACAGCAUUGAGUUGGGGACUCAGGCGGAACUGCCGGUGACAAACCGGAGAACGCUGGGGACGACGUCAGGUCAUCAUGGCCCUUAUGUCCUGGGCUACACACGUGCUACAAUGGCCGGUACAGAGCGAAGCAACACCGCGAGGUAGAGCAAAUCGCAGAAAGCCGGUCUCAGUUCGGAUUGGAGUCUGAAACCCGACUCCAUGAAGUUGGAUCGCUAGUAAUCGCGCAUCAGCAUGGC
This 1127-nucleotide ribosomal RNA is filed under the name uncultured organism. RNAcentral's name for it is "bacterial SSU rRNA". It matches the Rfam family "Bacterial small subunit ribosomal RNA", at positions 233 to 1358 of the family's 1533-position model. The record is from RNAcentral.